CCUACGGGAGGCAGCAGUGAGGAAUAUUGGUCAAUGGGCGCGAGCCUGAACCAGCCAAGUAGCGUGAAGGAUGACUGCCCUACGGGUUGUAAACUUCUUUUAUAAAGGAAUAAAGUGAGGCACGUGUGCCUUUUUGUGUGUACUUUAUGAAUAAGGAUCGGCUAACUCCGUGCCAGCAGCCGCGGUAAUACGGAGGAUCCGAGCGUUAUCCGGAUUUAUUGGGUUUAAGGGGUGUGAGAUGGGUUGGUAAGGUAGGUGUGAAAGGUUGGGGGUUAACCGUAAAACUGCAAUUGAGACUGGCAGUCUUGAGUACAGUAGAGGUAGGCGGAAUGCGUGGUGUAGCGGUGAAAUGCUUAGAUAUCACGAAGAACUCCGAUUGCGAAGGCAGCUUACUAAACUGACACUGACAUUGAUGCUCGAAAGUGUGGGUAUCAAACAGGAUUAGAUACCCUAGUAGUC
This 459-nucleotide ribosomal RNA is filed under the name uncultured bacterium. Its description in RNAcentral is "partial 16S ribosomal RNA". It matches the Rfam family "Bacterial small subunit ribosomal RNA", at positions 338 to 795 of the family's 1533-position model. The record is from RNAcentral.